GUUUUGAACAUGAAGGUGUGCUGUAUUUUGUCAAAUGCUUUUUUUUCUGAAUCUAUUGAGAUGAUCAUAUGAUUCUUUUUGUUAAGUCUAUAAAUCUGAUGAAUUACAUUUAUUGAUUUCUAUAUGUUGAACCAACCCUGCAUCCCUGGGAUAAAUCCCACUUGAUCGUGGUGUACUAUCUUUGAGGUAUGUCUUUGUAUGCGAUUUGCCAGAAUUUUAUUGAGAAUUUUUGCAUCUAUGUUUAUCAGGAAUAUUGGUCUGAAGUUUUCUUUCCUUGGUGUGUCUUUGGUUUUGGUACCACGGUGAUACUGACCUCAUAGAAUGAGUUUAGAAGGGUUCCUUCCUUUUGUAAUUCAUGGAAUAAUUUGAGGAGUAUUGGUGUUAAUUUUUCUUGAAAGUCUUGUAGAACUCUGCUGAGAAUCCAUCUGGUCCUGAGCUUUUCUUGGUUGGUAGGCUUUUGAUGGUGUUUUCUAUUUCAUUACUUGAAAUUGAUCUGUUUAAAUCAUAUAUGACCUUCUCAUUCUGUUUGGGUAGAUUGUAUAUCUCUAGAAAAUUGUUGAUGUCUUUGAUAUUUUCUAUUUUAUUAGAGUAUGAAUUUUCAAAAUAUUUUCUAAUUAUCUUCUGUAUUUCAGACAAGUCCAUUGUGAUAUUUUCUUCUUCAUCUUGUAGUCUAGUAAUUUGAGUUUUCUCUCUUUGUCUCUUCACUUGCAUGGCCAGGGGUUUACCUAUUUUAUUUAUUUUUCAUAGAACCAACUCUUUGUUUUGUCAAUUUUUUUUCAAUUGUUUCUUUUCUUUUAAUUUCAUUGAUUUCAGUUCUGCUUUUGAUUAUUUCCUAUUUGAUUUCAUUUCUUAUACCAUCCUUUACUUCACAAGCCAGUUUAACUAUGU
This 888-nucleotide long non-coding RNA is filed under the name Marmota monax (woodchuck). Lineage: Eukaryota; Metazoa; Chordata; Mammalia; Rodentia; Sciuridae. The record is from RNAcentral.